AUUCUCUGAGGAGAAAGCAGGGGCUCGUAAGACCUUGCGCUUUUGGAGCGGCCGAUGCCUGAUUAGCUUGUUGGUGGGGUAAUGGCUUACCAAGGCGACGAUCAGUAGUUGGUCUGAGAGGACGACCAGCCACACUGGGACUGAGACACGGCCCAGACUCCUACGGGAGGCAGCAGUGGGGAAUUUUGGACAAUGGGCGAAAGCCUGAUCCAGCAAUGCCGCGUGAGUGAAGAAGGCCUUCGGGUUGUAAAGCUCUUUCAGUCGAGAAGAAAAGAUUGUGACUAAUAAUCACAAUUCAUGACGGUAUCGACAGAAGAAGCACCGGCUAACUACGUGCCAGCAGCCGCGGUAAUACGUAGGGUGCAAGCGUUAAUCGGAAUUACUGGGCGUAAAGGGUGCGCAGGCGGCUUUGUAAGUCAGAUGUGAAAUCCCCGGGCUUAACCUGGGAAUUGCGUUUGAAACUACAGAGCUAGAGUGUAGCAGAGGGGAGUGGAAUUCCAUGUGUAGCAGUGAAAUGCGUAGAGAUAUGGAAGAACAUCGAUGGCGAAGGCAGCUCCCUGGGUUAACACUGACGCUCAUGCACGAAAGCGUGGGGAGCAAACAGGAUUAGAUACCCUGGUAGUCCACGCCCUAAACGAUGUCAACUAGUUGUUGGGCCUUAUUAGGCUUGGUAACGUAGCUAACGCGUGAAGUUGACCGCCUGGGGAGUACGGUCGCAAGAUUAAAACUCAAAGGAAUUGACGGGGACCCGCACAAGCGGUGGAUUAUGUGGAUUAAUUCGAUGCAACGCGAAAAACCUUACCUACCCUCGACAUGUAGCGAAUACUCUAGAGAUAGAGUAGUGCCUUCGGGAAUGCUAACACAGGUGCUGCAUGGCUGUCGUCAGCUCGUGUCGUGAG
Molecule: ribosomal RNA, 899 nt
Filed under: uncultured bacterium
Lineage: Bacteria
Description: bacterial SSU rRNA
Rfam family: Bacterial small subunit ribosomal RNA
Source: RNAcentral